RNAcentral lists this ribosomal RNA (557 nucleotides) under uncultured bacterium. Its description in RNAcentral is "bacterial SSU rRNA". It matches the Rfam family "Bacterial small subunit ribosomal RNA", at positions 102 to 694 of the family's 1533-position model. The record is from RNAcentral.
ACGGGUGAGUAACGCGUGGGAAUCUACCGUGCCCUGCGGAAUAGCUCCGGGAAACUGGAAUUAAUACCGCAUACGCCCUACGGGGGAAAGAUUUAUCGGGGUAUGAUGAGCCCGCGUUGGAUUAGCUAGUUGGCGGGGUAAAGGCCUACCAAGGCGACGAUCCAUAGCUGGUCUGAGAGGAUGAUCAGCCACAUUGGGACUGAGACACGGCCCAAACUCCUACGGGAGGCAGCAGUGGGGAAUAUUGGACAAUGGGCGCAAGCCUGAUCCAGCCAUGCCGCGUGAGUGAUGAAGGCCUUAGGGUUGUAAAGCUCUUUCACCGGAGAAGAUAAUGACGGUAUCCGGAGAAGAAGCCCCGGCUAACUUCGUGCCAGCAGCCGCGGUAAUACGAAGGGGGCUAGCGUUGUUCGGAAUUACUGGGCGUAAAGCGCACGUAGGCGGAUAUUUAAGUCAGGGGUGAAAUCCCAGAGCUCAACUCUGGAACUGCCUUUGAUACUGGGUAUCUUGAGUAUGGAAGAGGUAAGUGGAAUUCCGAGUGUAGAGGUGAAAUUCGUAGA